CGUUUAGUUGCUGGGUGUAGACCCGAAACCGGGUGAUCUAUCCAUGAGCAGGUUGAAGGUUGGUAACACUAACUGGAGGACCGAACCCACUGUCGUUAAAAAGCCAGGGGAUGACUUGUGGAUAGGGGUGAAAGGCUAAUCAAACUCGGUGAUAGCUGGUUCUCCCCGAAAGCUAUUUAGGUAGCGCCUCGGACGAAUACCAUUGGGGGUAGAGCACUGUUUCGGCUAGGGGGUCAUCCCGACUUACCAAACCGAUGCAAACUCCGAAUACCAAUGAGUACUAUCCGGGAGACAGACUGCGGGUGCUAACGUCCGUAGUCAAGAGGAAAACAAUCCAGACCGCCAGCUAAGGCCCCAAAAUUAUAGUUAAGUGGGAAACGAUGUGGGAAGGCAUAGACAGCUAGGAGGUUGGCUUAGAAGCAGCCACCCUUUAAAGAAAGCGUAAUAGCUCACUAGUCGAGUCGGCCUGCGCGGAAGAUGUAACGGGGCUAAAACUAUAUGCCGAAGCUGCGGAUUUACACAUUAGUGUAAGUGGUAGGGGAGCGUUCUGUAAGCCGAUGAAGGUGGAUUGAGAAGUCUGCUGGAGGUAUCAGAAGUGCGAAUGCUGACGUGAGUAACGACAAAACGGGUGAAAAAC
RNAcentral lists this ribosomal RNA (637 nucleotides) under Lonsdalea populi. RNAcentral's name for it is "bacterial LSU rRNA". It matches the Rfam family "Bacterial large subunit ribosomal RNA", at positions 693 to 1329 of the family's 2925-position model. Lineage: Bacteria; Pseudomonadati; Pseudomonadota; Gammaproteobacteria; Enterobacterales; Pectobacteriaceae. The record is from RNAcentral.